RNAcentral lists this ribosomal RNA (497 nucleotides) under uncultured bacterium. Its description in RNAcentral is "partial 16S ribosomal RNA". It matches the Rfam family "Bacterial small subunit ribosomal RNA", at positions 28 to 507 of the family's 1533-position model. The record is from RNAcentral.
GAUGAACGCUGGCGGCGUGCCUAAUACAUGCAAGUCGAGCGAACAGACGAGGAGCUUGCUCCUCUGACGUUAGCGGCUGACGGGUGAGUAACACGUGGAUAACCUACCUAUAAUACUGGGAUAACUUCGUGAAACCGUAGCUAAUACCGGAUAAUAUAUUGAACCUCAUGGUUCAAUAGUGAAAUACGUUUUUUCUGUCACUUAUAGAUGUAUCCGCGCCGCAUUAGCUAGUUGGUAAGGUAACGGCUUACCAAGGCAACGAUGCGUAGCCGACCUGAGAGGGUGAUCGGACACACUGGAACUGAGACACGGUCCAGAAUCCUACGGGAGGCAGCAGUAGGGAAUAUUCCGCAAUGGGCGAAAGCUUGACGGAGCAACGCCGCGUGAGUGAUGAAGGACUUCGGAUCGUAAAACUCUGUUAUUAGGGAAGAAAAAAUGUGUAAGUAACUAUGCACGUAUUGACGGUAACUAAUCAGAAAGCAACGGCUAACUACGUG